Molecule: ribosomal RNA, 4255 nt
Filed under: Triticum aestivum (bread wheat)
Lineage: Eukaryota; Viridiplantae; Streptophyta; Magnoliopsida; Poales; Poaceae
Description: partial small subunit ribosomal RNA
Source: RNAcentral
UCGCCCAGUAAAAACCAUCCCACUCGGAAAGGAGCGCACGGGGCGCCACGCGCAGGGUACCGAACGGUCCCCGACCUCGCUCCUCGGGUAACCCGUGCUGGCGUGGUUGAGAUCGAGGGCUAGGUGUCGGUGUGUGAGGAGGGAGGAGGGAGAGUAUCGGCGGUGUGGGGUAAGGAGAGAAGGAGUAGGGAGGAGGAAGGGCCUAGGGACGGUGGCGGUGUGGGUGAGCAGAGGAGGAGAGAGAAGAUCUAUUGAGGAGGAAGGACUAGAGACGCAGUAGACGUCGCGCUCUCCUCGUCGCCGCCGCCUCUACGAGGCUACCGCCGCAGCUCAACGCUUCGCCACCACGAGUCCGCGCUCUGUUGUCUUCGCCCUCGCCGAUGAGGACCGGGGCUAGACCCCCCAACCCAAGGUCCCACGGCUGCCGAAGUAACAGAUACUGCGCCCAGGCACGGUAGCCCCCUUCGGAACCUAGCUACAUCCCCCCGAGGGGCCCCCCGCGUCUCCUCCCCCAACCUGCUCGCCCACUCCUACGCACUCCGGUCUUCCUCAAACCCCAGCGGUCUCCUCGUAUCGGACGUGCCCCCGACCAGUAGCGAUCUCGUCUCCCCUCCUCCAGCUACGUCCCCUGCGGUACCUACCAGCCCCGCGACCGAGGAGGAAAGGGGUACGGUGGCCACAGGACGCAGUUACUACGGCGGUACCGGAAGAGCGGUGACUGGAGGGUUCACGAAGAGUGGCGACGUAAGGAGAAAGGUACUUAAAAAGGAAGGUGCGAUUCUACUUUACUGAGAAGGGUAUAGACUGGGAUAAAAAAUCAGACAAGAAGGACGACGAUUAAGAAUGAGAAGUCCUCGUCCCUGCCAGACAUCCGAUCGCCAUCCCCCUACUUGAGGGAAACAGGUCAUGGUCGGCCACUUCUACCUUCCUUCGGUACCCACGGAGUUCCGAAUCCUUGAAAAACCCUAUUGACUCAACCAUUUACAGUUUUUACCUAUUCCUAUUCCUUUAGUGGUAAGCUAAAUACUAACCCGCAACCAACCUCCGUAACCGUACUUCCACGGCACUCAAUAGAUGUUCCCGUAACAACACUGCACGAGGAGGUACAGAGGGCGCUCAAGAACAGUAAUAGCAAUUUAUUAUAUUACAAAUCCCAGUCAAAUCUACACAGCUGUUUUUUAUACUCGACGUAGCAGAUAGUCAGGAUCUUCGAGACUAGAAGCAGACGGUAACUUGGCUCGAGUAGACAGACCCAUACCGUCACGGCACACGGCACACGAUGUCGACCCGUCGUUCCUGUCCGCUGGUGUCCGUCUACCGUAGCCACCGUUACCGUUGUACACGCCACGUGUCGCACUCCUCAAGUCAUUCCACCUGACCCGUGACGGAGGGGUGAUCACAAGGUCCUGCCGCACGGGCUGCCGUCGUAUACAUCGCUCCUGCACGCUGGGACUCGUCGAAAACUCCUCGAAGGGGAGGCGAGGACGAGAAAGAGAACAGUUAAUGAUGUAUAUUUACGUGAACUAUACACAACUAAAAAAACGAUAGUAGUAGAAGAGAACUCCUAUAAUAACGGAAAGAACCUCUAAUAUCUCUACUAUCUUAAGAAUAAGGUAUUAUAAGUAGUACAAUAUAUCAUUACGUUACGUAAGAAAAAAAGGAACCCUACUAAAAAGAGCCUUCAUUGAACCGGUUAUUACUGUAAAAAUAUACGACGUUGGAUCUUCUUUGUUGGUGGUUACCUGUCCUUAAGCAGUGUAAUUGACCAGAUAGAGAAAGUCAGGUACGGCUGCUUCGUUAUGUCUUCGUAGGAGGACGACAUUAUUGAUGUAGAACCGAAAAUGCAAACAAUUACCUAAGGGGUGGUCGUCGUUUCUUGACAAAGAAAAAGCUAUCGAUGAUAAAGAAAAGAAGGAAAGAUGACAAGCGUUUACAGGACUACAAAAAUACACGACACAAACCCACAAAUUGAACCGUUCAUGUACGUAGACCUCGUUUCGUACUUCGUGUUCGAAGAGUUCCAUGAAGUAACGUAUCAUUAUCAUACGUUGAAAGUCUCAAGAUUAAACAGAGACAAUAUUGGCCAAAUCAAACUGGCUAAAUUUAAAGAAUAAGUACGUACAUAUGUGUUUAACGUCCCACAUAAUCACGAAUACUUUGAAUGAAAACCAUACGAAAUAAAAGUUCGAAGUUCCACAUAAUUAAUAAGGUUGAAAAUACAAUCUACAGACAUCAAAAAAAAGGCAACAAAAGUAUUAUUGACCUUUUGAUUAAACCAUAGGAAUAACAAUAAUGAAGAUCUACAAUGACCUUGACUUAAAACUUGUCUUAUAUCACAUAACGUCGUACAACGUUACGUCGGAAGAGAAAAAGAUUCUCGUUAACUAAUACAAAAAAUAAAGUGCCCAAUACGUAUCAACAAACAAAGGGAAAGGAUAAACUUCAAAACAGACACAAAGUCUGAAAGUAAUCUUUUUCGCCAACAGUAAGACCCGUACAUCAAUAACCAGGAAAUAAAGAACGAACAAAUCGAAGGUAAAUGAAAAGACAUACGUAACCCGCACCUCAUAAACCCUAGAAGUCACUUCACAUCAUAUAACAUGAUGGACCUAAUUGGGAAUUGUGUCUACCAAUCUAAAAUACAAUUUCGAUCGUUACGUAACCGAAAUCAACGAUAAUGGUUUCUGAUCGACAGUCCCUAUGAAAGAACUUGGAAAGAAAAGAACAGCGACAUAACAUCGUAUUUUUGGAUUUUACCCAGGUAGGUAAGUAAUGUGGUACAUCAACUACACACCGGACAUAUCUUACGUUUAUACGUUGAAGAGACUCAGGUUUAAACAUGAUAUUCAGGCAAUAAAGUAAAUUUUGUUAUACACGGUACACUAAUACAAUGUACUGCCAUACUAGGUCUCAAGUCAAAUACUAAGAAGGUGCUACCUUUGUCACUAAUGGGUAAGUGUUAGAUUCGGAAGGAGUUCAUCAUACCUAUAUCACGAUGGUCCUAUGAUUCAUAUAAGUACUUCAACACGUUUCAAAUUUUAACAACACCGUAGAGCGUAUACAGUUUGGGAGUAUACAACGACCACCCGUACGAAUACGCGUACUAUAAUUCAUUCGAACACGAUACGACAAUGAUUUAUUUUAGUUACAAGUCUGAAUAGAAAACAAAAGAGAUGGAUUUCUCAGGUCACAAAAUGGCUCUCCCGUUAAUAUACAAAGGAAGAUUGACAAAAGAGAGCAUACUACAACUCAUUUAGUGACUACAAAGAUAAAUGAACCGGAUGUAAAACCAAAAGUUUAUCAAGACGGAGAGUUAAACUAUACAGAUGAAGGAAAACGAAUCAUUAUACUACACAACAAAAGAUCGAGAUCCGGAUGAACACAAGUUCCAAGUCAACUAACACAAAGAAUUCCCAGAAAAAAAUUAAUCACCGUAGUUAUACACCGUGAUUAAGGUAACACGUAAUAUGACACUAAAAAGGUUCGUUGUGGUAAUACCAUAAAAAAUUAGGGUAAAGUUCAAAGUGAACUAGUGAUCGGAGAAACAAGAGAGGAGUAGUAGUACCAGAAAGAAUUCCCACAAGUCCGUAAAAAAAGGAAGACAUUUAAUCAACAGAAGAUAAGCACAACGCUUGAACCGUAGAGUGGUAAGGGGUACUAGGUGUACAAUUGACACCUAAAUAAAUUACCAUUAUACUAUAAUUGCUGGAAAAGAAGUCCUAUUCGACUGUGGAUUAUUCCUACUCUUGUUGCCUCUACGAUUCUCCGUUGGAAAGCCCCAAUUCCUAUAUUUGUUGUUGUACCGAAAACCUAGAACUUCGGGACGUGAAAGGAACUCCUCACCGUCGUUUUAUCAAGUCUCCGAAAUUUCGAUGGCGUGAAAUGUAUCAAUCCUAGUUAAGAAACAAAGCCAAACUUUAUGAGAUCUCAAGGAGGAUAAACUAAAUAAGUAGACUACCUGUAAAACAGUCCGUUUAUUUGUCUUCCGUAUACAUAACAAUGUUCACUUCGGUAGGUAUGUUCAGCUCUAUAAUUAUUAGGGUAUACACCUUAAGUUCUAUAUCUCUUUACAAUAAGAAGAUGAUUAACCAACGAACUGGUUUACAUGACAUCUACUAGAAUAACAACAACUUCUAUAUCUCUUUACAAUAACAAGGAGUAACAUCACCUACUACAGGUAGGAUUAAUAACUCUACUACCUUCAUGAUGAGUCCUCAAAACAGAGACUGGCUUAUUUAGACGGCUCCUUCUUCCC